CACACCCACUUUACUCGCUCUAAUCUUCACCGCCCACUUUACUCGUUUUGGAGGCAACCCUCACCAUCCACUUUGAACAAAUCCAUCACAGUCCGUUCCAGUCUCGUACCCCAUUAGCACGGCGUCAGUGAGGUGGAGAUUCAGUGCCGACACACUCCUCUGGAAGGAGUCUGCAAAAAUGUGAGCUGAGCCCUUGACUAAGCUUGCUCUUUCUUUGGGCUUUCUUGGCUGGGUGUCUAGGACUUUGCCAAGACUAAUCUACGGGACUCGUGCAAGGCGCCUUUCACACGGAUCGGUUGAAAUCAAAUGGAAGGCAUGCCUCUCUGGAGCUUUUCUCUACCAAGAAAGAGAUGUCGGUAUUUACUGCAUCCUGGGGAAGAACCUUGCUUACUUGCUUACCGAGAACCAGCUCUGAAGCAAAUUCAGUAAAACGAUCAUGCCUCUCUGAGUCAUAAAGCCCAAAACUGCCCCCAACGAAUGAAUACAUCUACGGAGACUAACAAUGUAUGCUCUCUCUCAAAGCCUCAACCUAAUGGACCGAAAGUAGAAUCUGGAUCAAAUAGGAAAGAUAAUUUCAUAGUUCACGGUCUAUCGGCACAUUUUGCAGUGCUUGGUGAUAUCAGUCAGUAUAUGCACAUAACUGAGAUUUCCUGUCAUCUACUUCAUGGCGAGUUGGGGGCCAAUAUAUCGAAUGGACUUCAUAUUAUCAGGUAUCCAGGACCCUUACUCAAGGUCAAUUGGAAAUAAACAUUUAUGUUGUCGAGGAACUACAAAUCAAGCUGUUUAAACUUGAAAGCGGCUAUAAUGAGUAUCUUGAAGUGGCACAAAUGUAGGUUUGUGACCUUUAUUCAAGUGUUUUGAGAGGGGCUUGCCAGAAGCUAUAUGAUUCUCCUGUCAUUUCAUUUUCAUAUGUUAAGGUUAGUAAAAGUUGUUGCUUUCUAGUUGUUUUUCUUCCGUGUGAGCAUGAUUUAAGUUGCUUGUAUCUACCAAAUGUUGUAGACUUGUAGCAUGGCAAUAAAUUUCAAUUGAAUUUGAGUCGAAAUAAAGUUGACUUUUCGA
Cornus florida is the source of this 1059-nucleotide long non-coding RNA. RefSeq lists it as uncharacterized. The transcript is spliced from 4 exons. Lineage: Eukaryota; Viridiplantae; Streptophyta; Magnoliopsida; Cornales; Cornaceae. The record is from RefSeq and is a predicted model, not a curated record.